Molecule: ribosomal RNA, 497 nt
Filed under: uncultured bacterium
Lineage: Bacteria
Description: partial 16S ribosomal RNA
Rfam family: Bacterial small subunit ribosomal RNA
Source: RNAcentral
GAUGAACGCUGGCGGCGUGCCUAAUACAUGCAAGUCGAGCGAACAGACGAGGAGCUUGCUCCUCUGACGUUAGCGGCGGACGGGUGAGUAACACGUGGAUAACCUACCUAUAAGACUGGGAUAACUUCGGGAAACCGGAGCUAAUACCGGAUAAUAUACUGAACCGCAUGGUUCAAUAGUGAAAGACGGUUUUGCUGUCACUUAUAGAUGGAUCCGCGCCGCAUUAGCUAGUUGGUAAGGUAACGGCUUACCAAGGCAACGAUGCGUAGCCGACCUGAGAGGGUGAUCGGCCACCCUGGAACUGAGACACGGUCCAGACUCCUACGGGAGGCAGCAGUAGGGAAUCUUCCGCAAUGGGCGAAAGCCUGACGGAGCAACGCCGCGUGAGUGAUGAAGGUCUUCGGAUCGUAAAACUCUGUUAUUAGGGAAGAACAAAUGUGUAAGUAACUAUGCACGUCUUGACGGUACCUAAUCAGAAAGCCACGGCUAACUACGUG